This 497-nucleotide ribosomal RNA is filed under the name uncultured bacterium. RNAcentral describes it as "partial 16S ribosomal RNA". It matches the Rfam family "Bacterial small subunit ribosomal RNA", at positions 28 to 507 of the family's 1533-position model. The record is from RNAcentral.
GAUGAACGCUGGCGGCGUGCCUAAUACAUGCAAGUCGAGCGAACAGAUAAUGAGCUUGCUCCUCUGACGUUAGCGGCGGACGGGUGAGUAACACGUGGAUAACCUACCUAUUAGACUGGGAUAACUUCGGGAAACCAGAGCUAAUACCGGAUAAUAUAUUCAACCGCAUGGUUCAAUAGUGAAAGACGGCUUUGCUGUCACUUAUAGAUGGAUCCGCGCCGCAUUAGCUAGUUGGUAAGGUAACGGCUUACCAAGGCAACGAUGCGUAGCCGACCUGAGAGGGUGAUCGGCCACACUGGAACUGAGACACGGUCCAGACUCCUACGGGAGGCAGCAGUAGGGAAUCUUCCGCAAUGGGCGAAAGCCUGACGGAGCAACGCCGCGUGAGUGAUGAAGGUCUUCGGAUCGUAAAACUCUGUUAUUAGGGAAGAAAAAAUGUGUAAGUAACUAUGCACGUCUUGACGGUACCUAAUCAGAAAGCCACGGCUAACUACGUG